This 257-nucleotide long non-coding RNA is filed under the name Setaria italica (foxtail millet). RNAcentral's name for it is "long non-coding RNA (SITA_LNC001555)". The record is from RNAcentral. Lineage: Eukaryota; Viridiplantae; Streptophyta; Magnoliopsida; Poales; Poaceae.
CGACCACCUGCCCGAUCGGAGCAACGCGGGCAUCGCCGUGGAGACGAGACGACGAGCCGUCAAUGGCGGAUCGAUUCGUCGAUGAUAGGUGGCUCCCGAUCGUCCAGCAGGGGAGACGGAGAUGGUGAACGUACGUACGCGCAGAUCAGAUGGAUGCGCCGGGGCCGGACGGACGGAGGGACAGACAGACAAGCGAAGUCAAGGCUCUAUCGGGGAAUUCGGGAUUGUGGCUGUGCGUGCGUGCGUACUGCGUCGGC